GAUGAAUGCUGGCGGCGUGCCUAACACAUGCAAGUCGAGCGGUAAGGCCCUUCGGGGUACACGAGCGGCGGACGGCUGAGUAACGCGUGGGAAUUUGCCCCAAAGUGAGGAAUAACUGCCCGAAAGGGUAGCUAAUGCCGCAUAUGGUCUUCGGAUUAAAGGAUUUAUCCGCUUUGGGAGAAGCCCGCGUUGGAUUAGGUAGUUGGUGAGAUAAAAGCUCACCAAGCCAACGAUCCAUAGCUGGUCUGAGAGGAUGACCAGCCAGACUGGAACUGAGACACGGUCCAGACUCCUACGGGAGGCAGCAGUGAGGAAUCUUCCACAAUGGGCGAAAGCCUGAUGGAGCAACGCCGCGUGCAGGAUGAAGGCCUUCGGGUUGUAAACUGCUUUUAUGAGUGAAGAAUAUGACGGUACCUAAUGAAUAAGGACCUGCUAACUAUGUGCCAGCCGCCGCCGUAA
Molecule: ribosomal RNA, 459 nt
Filed under: uncultured bacterium
Lineage: Bacteria
Description: partial 16S ribosomal RNA
Rfam family: Bacterial small subunit ribosomal RNA
Source: RNAcentral